ACCAGAUAUCGGCCUUGUAGUCGUAUGGACGGUCCUUGGACGUCUCGCACAUCACCACCUCGGGGGCCAUCCUGGAAGGAGAGUCAUUGAAAUGAGAUGUAGAGAUUACAGAUGUUUAUGUUUGGGCAAAAGAACAACUUAUGUGGGCUAGGUAAUUCUUGAAUGAAUGUCCAAUCCUAGAAGCAAAGCAAAGCAGUGUACAACCCAUGUUCGACUCCGGCUGAGACAAGAGUUGAUGGCGCUGAUACUGUGAUGCUGGCUGACCCCCACAGACAAACCACUGAAGCAGGUCUUACCUUUGUCACCGUGUUUCACUGAGUGGUUUAAAGAAAAAAUUGCUCUGCAGUUUCAGAUCUGAUGACUUUAAAAUAAUUGAUUUGUUUUUAUUUAUUUAAUGUUUAAUAACUUAUUUAUAGUGGCAUGACAAAUUAACAGAAAUAAUUAUACCCACACUGUCACACACUUUGAAUAUCAUGUAAAUAAUGAGUUUUAAUGUGACAAUUGUAUGUGUCACAAGCUUCUGGAAAUCUCAUGUAUUAUGAGUAAGAGCAGCACAAGGAACAAUUUACACAAAGUCUCUCUUCUGACUGUUUGACAUGCUUUUAGUGUAAUAUCACAAGAGGGAUCAUGUGAACUUGUAAGCUUCUUUCAUUAGAGUGGCUAAAAAAAAUACUGUGGGAGACUUCAUAACAGCAUAGCUGUUUUUCUCCUCUGUAUGAUAUCACAUGAUACCUCGACUCAGCUGUUUUCAUCAGUCCAGAUAAGUGAAUGUAAUGCUUUGUUGUGAACGGAGGAUUUAACUGUACAAUUCUUGUUGGCAGCAGUACAGUAAUGAGGAAACAUGAUGAAAGUAAAUGGAGACUAUGGCUAAAGGCGCAAAGCCAACAUAACUGAGAUCCAGGGCCUCUGUGGCCGCACCAUGGAUUACGGUUUGUGGAUCGCGCACCGGAAGUCGCGGUGUUGGAUCCAGUGUGGCGGAUUCUGAGUCAUGUGGGCUGAUCGUGGUGCUGGUGGCGGACCCUGUGUCGCGUUGGCAUUGGGCACGGGCGGUGGACCAGGACCGCGGUGGUGGCUUGUGAUGGGUCCUCCUGAUGGGCGGCGAUGGACGGUGACUGAGGACUGGAGUGGCGUCUGGUCUGGAUGGUGGAUCGUGGUCUGGAUGGUUGCUGAGCAUGGACUGUGCUUGCAGCGGGACUGCUUGGCAUGUCAUGUUGGGGUUGUCCUUCGGGAUGUCUACCCUCAUCAAUGCUGCUAGAGACUUUGAUUAUUGAUGAUGUUGUCUUGCACUUGGCAUCUAUUGCACUUCUCUCCGUCCUGGGAGAGGGAUCCCUCACAUGUGGCUCUCUCUAUGGUUUCUACAUAUUUUUACCCUGUUAAAAAGGUUGUUUUGUAGUUUUUCCUUACUCUUGUUGAGGGUUAAGGACAGAGGAUGUCACACCCUGUUAAAGCCCUAUGAGAUGAAUUGUAAUUUGUGAAUAUGGGCUAUACAAAUAAAAUUUUAUUGAAUUUGA
Molecule: long non-coding RNA, 1511 nt
Organism: Platichthys flesus (European flounder)
Lineage: Eukaryota; Metazoa; Chordata; Actinopteri; Pleuronectiformes; Pleuronectidae
Exons: 3
Source: RefSeq, a predicted model, not a curated record